UUUAUAAAGAGUUUGAUCCUGGCUCAGGACGAACGCUGGCGGCGCGCCUAACACAUGCAAGUCGAACGAGCGAGAGAGAGCUUGCUUUCUCGAGCGAGUGGCGAACGGGUGAGUAACGCGUG
This 122-nucleotide ribosomal RNA is filed under the name Faecalibacterium prausnitzii. RNAcentral's name for it is "partial 16S ribosomal RNA". It matches the Rfam family "Bacterial small subunit ribosomal RNA", at positions 1 to 119 of the family's 1533-position model. The record is from RNAcentral. RNAcentral also lists the same sequence under 1 other name. Lineage: Bacteria; Bacillati; Bacillota; Clostridia; Eubacteriales; Oscillospiraceae.